UUUCCUUUGCCUUGUAACAGUGCUUUAUGAGCAUAUGCUAAAGACAUAAAGAAGCACAUAAAGCACUGUUACAAGGCAAAGGAAAUAAGAACAGUCAAAUAGACUUAAAAGUUUACAGUACAACAUUGCAUUAAAAGUAGUACUAACUAGUAACAGGCCAGACAGAAUACCUACUAGUGGAAGAGUAACACAAAUCAAACAUCAAGCCAAUCUUCACACCACCAAAGAGUACAUACAAACUGAGGUUACAGAGAAAUUUAAGAGAUGAUAACCACUAAUGUCUUCAUGUUGUGGCAACCAACCUAUAAUUGGAUCGUUGGAACAUGAACAUGGUUGCCUAAUAAAGCUGCCAUCAUUAUUCACCUAAUACCAACCAGCCAAGAGAGAGGGAAGCCAACCGGUGCAUAAUUGCCCGUAUCUUAGACAUGGAGUUAAAUACCAGACGAAAUUAAAACUUAAUUCUUAAAAUUCCCAGCUCCAAUCUUCUGCACUUCAACUUUGAGAGACUUUAGAUAUCUGACUGCUUCAUCAAUAACCAUUACUGUAUUCAUUUGAUCACCACCAGGUACAAUUCCUCUCAGUGCCUUCACCAUCUUCUUCAUCUUCUGUCGUUUCCUUUCACUGUUAAUGCUGCUACCAUUUCCAGAGGAGUUCUGAAUAGAAGAAGAUCCAUUUUUCCAGGGCUUAGAACCACAAGUUGAGUACGAAUCAGGGGAGUUGCUUCCAUGAUUUCCAUAAGUUCGUGCUGUGCUAACUUCUUCCUCAUCAUAUUCAUCCUGUUCAUCCUCUUCCAAGCUCAAUAAUGCAUCAAUAUCAUCUGAAUCCUCUUUUAGAGAAGAAGAAGAUGCUUCUCUUUCAAUACCAUUGAUCUCUUCUCUAUCAAAAUUCUCUGGGUUGUAACUUCCAUACAUAUUUAAGCCAGGACCACUGAAUUUGUGGGCAACUGCAGGAUGAAACAUAAUUUGGCUUCGAUGAUUGUUCUGAUCGAAAAUAAUGAAAUUCUUUGGGCAAACCUCAGAAGGUUGAAAUUCAAU
Molecule: unclassified non-coding RNA, 1034 nt
Filed under: Hevea brasiliensis (rubber tree)
Lineage: Eukaryota; Viridiplantae; Streptophyta; Magnoliopsida; Malpighiales; Euphorbiaceae
Source: RNAcentral